AGCGGCGGACGGGUGAGUAACACGUGAGCAACCUGCCUUUCAGAGGGGGACAACAGUUGGAAACGACUGCUAAUACCGCAUAAUGUCAUUUGGCGGCAUCGUUGAAUGACCAAAGGAGCAAUCCGCUGAAAGAUGGGCUCGCGUCCAAUUAGAUAGUUGGUGGGGUAACGGCCUACCAAGUCGACGAUUGGUAGCCGGACUGAGAGGUUGAACGGCCACAUUGGGACUGAGAUACGGCCCAGACUCCUACGGGAGGCAGCAGUGGGGAAUAUUGGGCAAUGGGCGCAAGCCUGACCCAGCAACGCCGCGUGAAGGAAGAAGGCUUUCGGGUUGUAAACUUCUUUUGUCAGGGACGAGUAGAAGACGGUACCUGACGAAUAAGCCACGGCUAAUUCCGUGCCAGCAGCCGCGGUAAUACGGAAGGUCCGGGCGUUAUCCGGAUUUAUUGGGUUUAAAGGGAGCGUAGGCCGGAGGGUAAGCGUGUUGUGAAAUGCAGUUGCUCAACAUCUGCACUGCAGCGCGAACUGUUCUCCUUGAGUGCGCAGGAAGUAGGCGGAAUUCGUCGUGUAGCGGUGAAAUGCUUAGAUAUGACGAAGAACUCUGAUUGGGAAGCCAGCUUACUGUAGCGCCACUGACGCUGAUGCUCGAAAGUGCGGGUAUCGAACAGGAUUAGAUACCCUGGUAGUCCGCACGGUAAACGAUGGAUGCUCGCUGUGUGCAUUCGUGUAUGCGGCCAAGGGAAACCAUUAAGCAUCCCACCUGGGGAGUACGCCGGCAACGGUGAAACUCAAAGGAAUUGACGGGGGCCCGCACAAGCGGAGGAACAUGUGGUUUAAUUCGAUGAUACGCGAGGAACCUUACCCGGGCUUGAAUUGCAGAGGAAGGAAUUGGAGACAAUGACGCCCUUCGGGGUCUCUGUGAAGGUGCUGCAUGGUUGUCGUCAGCUCGUGUCGUGAGAUGUUGGGUUAAGUCCCGCAACGAGCGCAACCCUUACUGUUAGUUGCUACGCAAGAGCACUCUAACAGGACUGCCGUUGAUAAAACGGAGGAAGGUGGGGACGACGUCAAAUCAUCAUGCCCCUUAUGUCCUGGGCUACACACGUAAUACAAUGGCGGUCAACAGAGGGAUGCAAAAUCGCAAGAUGGAGCGAACCCCUAAAAGCCGUCCCAGUUCAGAUUGUGGGCUGCAACCCGCCCACAUGAAGUCGGAAUCGCUAGUAAUCGCGGAUCAGCAUGCCGCGGUGAAUACGUUCCCGGGCCUUGACACACCGCCCGUCA
Molecule: ribosomal RNA, 1277 nt
Filed under: uncultured bacterium
Lineage: Bacteria
Description: partial 16S ribosomal RNA
Rfam family: Bacterial small subunit ribosomal RNA
Source: RNAcentral